Long non-coding RNA from Carya illinoinensis, 1725 nucleotides. RefSeq lists it as uncharacterized. Lineage: Eukaryota; Viridiplantae; Streptophyta; Magnoliopsida; Fagales; Juglandaceae. The record is from RefSeq and is a predicted model, not a curated record. The transcript has 2 exons.
AAGAAGAAAAAAAAAGAAGGUAUGGCCGUUAUUUGGACCGGUACGAAACAGGUACAAUUUAUGUACCGGACCAGUUGCCAUACCGGCUGGUACGGUACAAAAUUAAAAACAAUGGUUUUAAUCCAUAUAUUGCUUCUCUCAUUUCUAUUUUGACAAAGCCUUAUUCAUUUUGCAUGUUGAUUUCCUGUUGUUUGGAUUUUGAAAAUUGAAAAAGCUUGGCAGACACAUUGUGAUUUAGUAAUGUUGAAUUAUUUUAUUUGUUCCUUUAAAACAUUCUGUUUUAAUCCAUAUAUUGCUCACUCAUUUUUGUUUUGAUGGUCUUAUUCAUUUGCAUACUGUUCGAUAUUGUUUGAAUUUUGUAAAUUAUAUUCCUUGGUGUUAUCUUGUGAUUUAGUAAUGUCACUUGUUAUUAUAUUAGAGCAUUCUUGUCGUUGGAUUUUUCUUCUCUAACCCCUCGCCUUUGAUAAUGACAAAGUCUCGCGAAGACAUAGAAAAUUUUGCACAUACCUCUAUGGCAUGGUAAUUUGAACGGCCAAUAAAUAGUGGCAACCAAUUGUUACAUCCAUUCGAGGGUGCGAAAUUUCCUCUAUGUUACCAUUCAAUUCUUGAGCCGGUUAGCAAAAUCACGUCUCUAUUGUUCUUAAGUGUCUAACAUGUUUACCAACUGUUAUGUGUCUAUAUCCUCUUCGAGAUGGAUUCGCAAGAUCAUGGAAUAUGUAGUUCACCAACCUCCUUAGUCAAGACCCUCAAAUUGACCACACUUAUGGUAGUCAAAGUGACCAAUCUCCUGUGACUUUUGAUGGCUCUCCACCCUUACCCCAAGUAGAGCCUCUCUUAGUAAGAAAAUCAGCCAAGGGUGCAAAUUUCACCUCUAAAUAAGACAAGUUACUUGUCUCGGCAUAGCUGAAUACCGUAAAAAUUAGUCAAUACUUCAAUGCAUAUAAACAUAGUACAACUGAGCAGAGUGUUAGAUCCUUAAUACAUCAGUGGUCAGUCAUUCAAAAGGCGACCAACAAAGUUUAUGCUAAACUGACCCAAGUCAAAGGUUUGAAUCAAAGUGGCAUGACCGAGCAAGACAAGUUUGACAAAGCAUAGAUCAUCAUUGGAGAAUACCUCUUUUCAAUUCGAACCUUUUUGACACCUAUUGAAGGACCAACCCAAAUGGAUUCAGCAUUGCACAAAGGAUGGUCCCAAGCAAAGGUUGAUGAUGUCUCUGAUCCCAACUCGUACCUCAGCUGCUGUUGUAAAUUCAAUUUGUGAUAUCAAGGCCAAGAAUGUUCUAGACAAUGAUGUCAUUGAAUUAUAGAGGCCAAUGGGAAGGAAAGCUGAGAAAGCAAAAUGUAAGGCCCAAGGCAAGCCAGCAGAGAAGAUUGUUGAGCUAAGCAAGCUGAAGUAUACUCACUUAAAGGAGUCAUGCACUCAGGAGAAAGAGUUUUUUCAGUUCAAGGCUAAGAAGAUGCAAUAUAAUCGGGAAAUAGAGGGAAAUAAAAUCCAACAAAAGGACAAGAGACUAAGGUUAGAGGCCGAGAUACUCGAAUUCGCCCAGAGGGAAGCGGAUGAGAGAGAGAGAGAGAGAGAGAGAGAGAGAGAGAGAGAGAGAGGCAAAUCAUGCUAAUUGAUGUGACUACCUUGGCUGGACUAAAAUGGAUGUAUUUUCAGCAACGUCAAAGGGAAAUUGUGGCGAGACGCAAUGCUGAACAAAACUGACUUUGUUUUUUUAUGUAA